UUCUAGUUUUCUUCCCACCCGUGGCUCCUCCGUCCUCUCCGCCCCGUACGCUCUUGACUGACUGAACCGAUCCGGCGACCCCUGCCUCCCUCGGAGAGCAUCCCCCCACCGGAUCAGCUCCUCCUCUGGUGGACCGCGCUGCCGUGGGCGCUGAGCGAAGGCCUCCGGUGGAUCCGUCCCGCGGAGCACCGAUCGCGCUCUGAUUUUCGGCCGUUUUGUUGGGGGCCUGACAGCCAAGCGGAGGUGAGGGGAGGGGGGCGAGGCGAGCAAGGAAGUAGCCUGAAGGUGGGGUGAGAAAGGGAAGCAGAGGAACCAAGAUUCAAUAUAAUUUUGUGGUACACAGAAGAGUAACACAUCAAAGACAGCGCAAAUACAUAACCAUCAGCAUGCCUUUUUUCCUUACUGUUUUUUCAUGGUUUCUCUGGUCAUCUAUGUGCACAGUUUGACCCAGUGAAGCUGAAGAAACUUGGGGCCAGCGUUUAAGAAGAAUUGGCCUGUAACAGCUGGCAGUUCUUCUACUAUAAGGUCUCAAGAUUCACAAAUAGCCUCAUUCUAGUGGAUACGAUCAAGAAAGCGACAGUUUGGUCACACUUGGAUCCGAGAGUUCAUGGCCGGUGCUCCAAGUUAAAGAGCCAGUCAUGUUAUAAUAGCUACAUAAAUGUUCAAGUAUCUCGAUUCUUAAAAAGGGCCGCAAGAUGACUGUAAUAGAUUUCAUAGAUCUGAGUGAUCAUGAUAUUAUUGACUUGAGCAGCAGCGAUGAUGAGACUGUUCAGGAGGAUCAUAUUGCAACUCAGCACCGGGCGGCGUCGCUUGAUAGGCAGACUAUGCAUGUCGUAGCUGGUGAAGGAAUCCAAGAUGUGCAGGCUGCGUUUGUUGCAGCUAGUGAAGGAAGGCAAGAUGUGCAGGCUGUGUUUGCUGCAGCUAGUGAAGGAAGACAAGAGGCUGCUGAUUGCGGACAUGCUUUGGAAGCCACCACAUCGUCCUUGGUUACGGAAAAAGAACCUCUUGUUGCAGCUAGUGAAGGAAGCCAAGAUGUGCAAGCUGUGCUUGUUGCAGCUCGUGAAGGAAGCCAAGAUGUGCAGGCUGCGUUUGUUGCAGCUAGUGAAGGAAGCCAAGAUGUGAAGGUUGUGCUUGUUGUAGCUACUGGAGGAAGUCAAGAAGCUUCUGACUCUGGAAAUGGUUUGGAAGCUACAGCAUUGUCUUUGGUUACUGAAAAAGCACCUCUUGAUAUGGCUGAAUCGCACAACUGUCCUCGCUCUCCCACAUCAGCGCCGUUCCCCAGCCCGACUUCUACCGUUCUGAAGGCUCCGACCUUUGAAGGUGGCGAUGCAAAGCUGGUAAGAGGAAAGGUGAAGCGUCCCAGGAAGAACUACCACACCGGUACUCCUAGGACAAGUCCUAGGUUUGAACUGAAGCCUGAAUGUCGGAACGGGCCUCUAGAAGAGCUGCCAGCCGAGGCACUGACCUCUGAAGGUGGCGACACGGAGCUGGUGAGAGAGAAGAUGCAACAUCCUGGGAAGGAUUACCAUUCCGGCACUCCUGGGACAAGUCCUAGGUUUGAACCGAAGCGUGAAUGUCAUAACGGGCCUGUGAAAGAGCUGCCAGCCGAGGCUCUGACAUCUGAAGGUGGCAACGCAAAGCUGUUGAGAGGGAAGGUCAAGCAUCCUCGGAUGAACUACCAUACCAGCACUCCUAGGAUAAGUCCUAGGUUUGUACCGAAGCUUGAAUGCCAUAACAGGCCUGUGGAAGAGCUGCCAGCCAAGGCUCUGACCUCUGAAGGAGGCAAUGAAGAGCUGGUGAGAGGGAAGCUGAAACAUCCUAGGAAGAACUACCCUGCUGGCACUCCUAGGACAAGUCCUAGGUUUGAACCAAAGCAUGAAUGUCAUAACGGGUCUGUGGAAGAAAUGCCAGCCAAGGUUCUGACCUCUGAAGGUGGUGAUGCUGAGCUGGUGAGAGGGGAAGUGAAACUUUCUAGGAAGAACUACCAUACCGGCACUCCUCGGACAAGUCCUAGGUUUGAAACAAAGCGUGGAUGUCGUAACGGGUCCGUGGAAGAGCUGCCAGCUGAGGUUCUGACCUCUGAUGGUGCUGAUGCAGAGCUGGUUAGGGAGAAGGUGAAACAUGCUAGGAAGGAUUACCAUACUGGCACUCCUAGGACAAGUCCUAGGUUUCAACUGAAGCUUGAACGUCACAAGGGGCCCGUGGAAGAACUGGCAGCCGAUCACAAGAGGUUCCGCACACUAGAAGAAUUAAUUGCCUCUCCUGACAAUGCAAAAUCUGCGAAGACCCCGUCUACUGACUCUCUGAACUAAGUGUGGUCGGAGCUCACGUUGCCCCAUGUAUUUCUGAGUUAUAUUACCAUUGCACCAAAUCCGUCUAGAUUAUAACUUGUGGCUGACUGUUGACUGCAAUACUCUCGAUGUUCACGUGCAUUUCUGUGAGAUAAUGCCUGACAAGCUGCUGAUUCCAGUUGAAUAUCUCAGAGACUUUGAACCUGUUUUGUUUCUCAUGCACAUUUUGAUGUACUUGGAGAAGAGAUGAAUUUAGGACUGAAGGCUGAACAACAUCAGUAGUACUUGAAGAAUGCUGUUCCUUGGGAGUUGAGAAACAACAUCAGGCUGCAAGCUGAGAUGUAAGUGCGCAUUAAUCAUGUAACCAACCAGCAAUAGGUUGAAAGUUGUGAGCAACUGCAGCGUGAAAUUUGUGGAAAAACUCUGUUUUUUAUGUGGUGGUUGGAACUAUAUUUAGUUGUGUUCACAAGGGAAUUUUACAACUGUGAAGGUUGAACAACUCCGUCAGUUAGUGCUACUUGUUUGAACUAUUUUUUUGGCGAGGGUACUUACUUGAAGUUCUGACCCUCUUCUAAUAAUGUUGUGCAAGCAUAAUAAUAUUCUGGAGACAUAUUGUUUGAAA
Triticum dicoccoides is the source of this 2913-nucleotide RNA transcript. RefSeq lists it as uncharacterized. The transcript is spliced from 9 exons. The record is from RefSeq and is a predicted model, not a curated record. Lineage: Eukaryota; Viridiplantae; Streptophyta; Magnoliopsida; Poales; Poaceae.